ACGCCAGUAGCUCAAUUGGCAGAGCAGCGGAUUCCAAAUCCGCAGGUUGGGGGUUCGACUCCUCCCUGGCGUG
This 73-nucleotide transfer RNA is filed under the name Phycisphaerae bacterium. Its description in RNAcentral is "tRNA-Trp". It matches the Rfam family "tRNA". Rfam says of the family: Transfer RNA (tRNA) molecules are approximately 80 nucleotides in length. Their secondary structure includes four short double-helical elements and three loops (D, anti-codon, and T loops). Lineage: Bacteria; Pseudomonadati; Planctomycetota; Phycisphaerae. The record is from RNAcentral.